RNAcentral lists this long non-coding RNA (676 nucleotides) under Bemisia tabaci. RNAcentral's name for it is "lncRNA ENSSSA3NGG008744". Lineage: Eukaryota; Metazoa; Arthropoda; Insecta; Hemiptera; Aleyrodidae. The record is from RNAcentral.
CCCCUAAAUGACAUCCGUCAUUGUUAUUGUUGAUUGUUUUUAUAGAUAAGCCAAGACGAAGUUUAGUGUCCUUUCUCGGGUUUAUUAUUUAAUUCAAAGUGGAAUAUGAUCUUGUUACAGUGUCAUGAGUGUUUGUAAAGUGUCAUGGAAGAAUUGGUCGGAGAUGAGGCAGUGCAAUUGUUUAUGAAUUUCAGUCGAAGUGACUUUGUAGGAGGAAUUGACAAUGAAGCCCUGGAUUUUAGUCAACUUGAGGACUAUAUCAACGAUGAGACGGAUAGUAGUAACACGUAUUUUGGUAGCACGUUAGCACACACGGGAAUGUAGCCCCUGUGGUGGUGAGCGUGGGUGUGGGCGUGGAGGGAGGGAGCAGCACCCUCCAUAUCCCGGCGACGGCCAAUCAAGUAGCACACCACGCUAGCUUCCCAGCCAAUAAUACUCCCAGCAAUGGCGUUCCUGUUCCCGUCCCCGGCACCGAUUCGACCAACAACUUCUCACACCCACACAACUUGCCGGAAAGCCCGCCGGACUCCGGAUCAGAGCCGCCAUAUUCGCCACAGGACUCGAACGUUCAUUCACCUCGUAAGUUUCUCUCCUUUGCUAUCUAUUUCAGGCUGAUUGUCGCAAGUUUUACCUCUUUUAAGGAGUUGUGGGUGAAAUGCAUGCGUUAUGUCACGCG